This 296-nucleotide ribosomal RNA is filed under the name Escherichia coli. RNAcentral's name for it is "partial 23S ribosomal RNA". It matches the Rfam family "Bacterial large subunit ribosomal RNA", at positions 1 to 288 of the family's 2925-position model. The record is from RNAcentral. Lineage: Bacteria; Pseudomonadati; Pseudomonadota; Gammaproteobacteria; Enterobacterales; Enterobacteriaceae.
GGGUUGUGAGGUUAAGCGACUAAGCGUACACGGUGGAUGCCCUGGCAGUCAGAGGCGAUGAAGGACGUGCUAAUCUGCGAUAAGCGUCGGUGAGGUGAUAUGAACCGUUAUAACCGGCGAUUUCCGAAUGGGGAAACCCAGUGUGAUUCGUCACACUAUCAUUAACUGAAUCCAUAGGUUAAUGAGGCGAACCGGGGGAACUGAAACAUCUAAGUACCCCGAGGAAAAGAAAUCAACCGAGAUUCCCCCAGUAGCGGCGAGCGAACGGGGAGGAGCCCAGAGCCUGAAUCAGUGUG